AGCGAACGCUGGCGGCAGGCUUAACACAUGCAAGUCGAGCGGGCCCUUCGGGGUCAGCGGCAGACGGGUGAGUAACACGUGGGAACGUACCCUUUGGUUCGGAAUAACGCUGGGAAACUAGCGCUAAUACCGGAUACGCCCUUUUGGGGAAAGGCUUGCUGCCGAAGGAUCGGCCCGCGUCUGAUUAGCUAGUUGGUGGGGUAAUGGCCUACCAAGGCGACGAUCAGUAGCUGGUCUGAGAGGAUGAUCAGCCACACUGGGACUGAGACACGGCCCAGACUCCUACGGGAGGCAGCAGCGGGGAAUAUUGGACAAUGGGCGCAAGCCUGAUCCAGCCAUGCCGCGUGAGUGAUGAAGGCCUUAGGGUUGUAAAGCUCUUUUGUCCGGGACGAUAAUGACGGUACCGGAAGAAUAAGCCCCGGCUAACUUCGUG
Molecule: ribosomal RNA, 433 nt
Filed under: uncultured bacterium
Lineage: Bacteria
Description: partial 16S ribosomal RNA
Rfam family: Bacterial small subunit ribosomal RNA
Source: RNAcentral